Transfer RNA from Xylona heveae TC161, 72 nucleotides. It matches the Rfam family "tRNA". From Rfam's summary of the family: Transfer RNA (tRNA) molecules are approximately 80 nucleotides in length. Their secondary structure includes four short double-helical elements and three loops (D, anti-codon, and T loops). The record is from Rfam. NCBI's taxonomy places the organism in Eukaryota, Fungi, Ascomycota, Xylonomycetes, Xylonales, Xylonaceae.
GGCCUCGUGGCCUAAUGGUAAGGCAUCUGAUUUCGGCUCAGAAGAUUGCGCGUUCGAGUCGCGUCGAGGUCG